Long non-coding RNA from Carassius gibelio (silver crucian carp), 4169 nucleotides. RefSeq lists it as uncharacterized. The record is from RefSeq and is a predicted model, not a curated record. The transcript has 2 exons. Lineage: Eukaryota; Metazoa; Chordata; Actinopteri; Cypriniformes; Cyprinidae.
CCUGUUUUUAUUUUAAUUUUGUAUUAUUAUUAUUUUAAUUAAAAAGACAUGAAUAUACAUGAAAAGGUAAAAACAGUGUGAUUAAAAAAAAACACAAAUCAAUUAAAAAAAGUGUCAUACCAAACUUUAUAUAAAGUUUGCACAGACUAAGCCAGAGCGUGCGUGCAUGUCACAACAGGGAAGCCCUCGCGCCCUCAGAUCAGUUGGAUGUGGUUAUGUACAAGAGGUAAAAAUUAUAAAAUACUGUUCGUUUUUAUUUACACAAACCGCUCGUUUCGUGUCUUAGGUCAUCAAUGUGUACUUAUGAUGUGGAAUUGUUUCAUUUGGACUCCUCUGUGCAUGCUCUUUCAGGUGGUGACCACCUAAAAAUAUCAAAAUGGGAAAUACUGCGGAAACAAAGAAACCUACAUCUUGGAUGUCAUUGAGAUAAGCUAAAGCAUACCAACAUUUAAUUUGAAAGUGAACUAUCCCUUUAAAGGACAAAUAUCCCCCCCAAAAACAUAUUUCUUUUUUGUGUAAGUACACAUGAUUGAUUAUGUAGUCUCAAAAUAGUGUUGUAUGAAAUGGUAACCUCGUGAUUUGUUUGAGAUGCUAUUUAUUCUUCAUGGUUUAGCAUAUAUUUUCCUGGUUGUGCGUCCUCAGUAUGGCAUUCUAACUAUAGUAAAGGGUGACAUCAUACAUUAGCUCAAUACUGUCUAUAUAAACUAGUAACUCUGUUGUUUGAAUAUAAGUAAACCAAAGGACACCUGGGAAAUGCCAUGAGAUUAAUCCAAAAAACUCUCUAAAAUUACAGCGAACACAAUCACUUGUAAUUAAAAGUCUUGAUGUGUAGUGAUAAGCUAAAUGUGCUUCGUUUUAAAAAAAAACUGAAGCACAGUUGCUUUUGGUAAACUGAACAAUGUAAAGCCUAUUUCUUACCUUUAGAUGGAGACACUGCACACGUCCUGCUCAGUCACAGUCUCAAGCAGAUUAUCAAUGCUGUCAUUUCCUUUAGAAAUCUCACAGAAAAACGUAAGUAGACAUACAGAUAAAUAUGCAUUUAACUAGCAAAUCUCUAAAGGGUGAUUCAAUAUCGAUUCAUAUUGAAUGAACAAUAAUUAUUGUCUUUUAUCUUUUGAUAUAGUUUUUGAAGGACCAGCUUUUUUGAAAGUGAAAAGGCUCAAAGUUCUAGUUUUCAUAAAAUAAAAUGAUGCUGUUUUUCCACAGCCUGAUCUGAAUUUAAAAUAGCAACUUCAUAUUACAGGCUACAGCACACAACAAAGUCGCUAGCCUAAAACUCCUCAAUAACUUAUUCCACAGGUGCGUAGUUAAUUUAGCAAUCUGAAAGAGGAGCUCCAAACGAGAUGAUGUAUAAAAAAUACAUAUUGAAGUGUCAAUGGCAUGUUUGCCACCAGAGACCAUUCAUGAGACUCCUUGUUAAUAUGAUCUCUAAUUAAUCAUUGUCAGUUAUUUUUCAUCAUAUUUUAUUCUCACACUUUACUUUUUGCCUUUUCGUUCUUUCUUUGCUUUUUGGUCCUUGGAUACUGCAUUCUGACCUGUUCUUACCACAUUCAGUCAUACAUUUUUGUGGCCUUUGGACUAGAAGAAAUGUAGCCAUAUGAAAGUAAUGUGAAAGUAUGAUACUCAGUUUAUUAAAGACACAUCUUCUGAAUCAUCCAAGAAUAAUUAGCUUAUUAAAAAGGACCCAUAAAGAAUAUACCAGGCACACCUUUGAUGAAAUUGUUAGGGAAAUCUGUCAUUGUCAGGCUAGGAAUUAUCUGUAAAAUCAUAGGCCUACAUAGCUGGGGCUCUGAUUAGAUCAUCUGCCAGCAAGAUAACUUUCUGCAGCUAACCAGUCAAAACUCUGUAGUGUAAUAACCUAGAUAGUUAUAAAACUGCAUCUACAAAAUCUUGUAGCCUACAUUAUUCUAACAAGGAAAAAAAAACAUAAUUAGCUCAAAUCAAAUUCACUGGCACAACUUUUGCAGAUGUGAGGUCUUGAAAACAGUGUUUUGAAUUGAUUGCGACAGGACCAGUUCACCUGUCCAGUGUGUCUGGAUCUACUGAAGAAUCAGUGAUCAUUCCCUGUGGACAGAGUCACUGUAUGAGCUGUAUUACAGACCGCUGCCCUCAGUGCAGACAGAUCUUCAGUCCAAGACCUGCUUUAGGCAAAAGCACCAUCUUGGGUGAAAUGGUAGAGAAACUGAAGAAGACUUGUGGGAAAGUUGUGGCUUAGUGGUAAGAGAAUUUGACUCCUAACCCUAAGGUUGUGGGUUCAAGUCUCAGGCCGAUAAUACCACGACUGAGGUGCCCUUGAACAAGGCACUGAACACCCAAGUGCUCCCUUGGCGCCGCAGCAUAAAUGGCUGCCCACUGCUCCGGGUGUGUGUUCACUGCUGUGUGUGUGCACUUUGGACGGGUUAAAUGCAGAGCACAAAUUGUGAGUAUGGGUCACCAUACUUGGCUGUAUGUCACGUCACUAAAUUACAAGCUGCUGAUGCUGGAGAUGUGGAGUGUGACGUCUGCACUUGAAGAAAACACAAAUCUGUUAAGUCCUGUCUGGAAUCUUAUUGUCAGACUCAUUUUGAUCGUCAUGAAGAAUUUUGCUCAGGUAACCCACACAAAGUGAUUGAUGCAACUGGACAACUGCAGCAGAUGUUCUGUCCUCAACAUCAUAAGCAACUGGACAUAAUGAACAUAAAAACCAUGACACCAUAACAGGUAUUCAAGGAGACAGGUAUUACUAAAUAUGAUUAUUACUAUUGACAUUAAAUUAGUUAAUUAAAUGGGCAGUUUUUAAAUGGAUUGAAUCUUUUGUUGAGGCAUUUGGAAGCAAAGCUACUGUAGCAUCUUUCUAACUGUAAUUGGGUGUGCAUAUGACUGUACUGAUUGAAAAAAAAAUCACUAUUCUUAACAUUACAUAGUUUCUUUAUGUAAAAUAACAUUUACUAGCUUGACUGUUAUUUUUAUUUUUUACUGUUAUUUUAUUCAUUUUUUCCACAGAAAAACCUGGAGCAAAAACAAUAAACUUACAGCAAAAAAAUCCAGAUGAUCAAGGCAGAUCUUCAGCAGCUGAGAGAAGAAGUGAAGACUCAUAAGGUGAGUUAGCUACUUGUAGAAACAUCUCAUGGUUUGGAGCCAUAACCUUGUGGACAGUGAUCUAACAUAGUACAACAGUUUAAGCCUUGGCUUGUGGUCCUUUUUCCAAUCCCACUCCCCUAUUGCUGUCACUCCCCUAAUGUCCUCUCAACAUAAGAAGAUGAAAAAAAAAGUUAAAAAAGAAAUAUAACUGGUCAGUUAAGACUCUCUUCCAAUCAGUGAGGAUCCCAGUUCACUUCCAGUCCCACCGAAGCUUGCAGCACGCUGCACAGAAGGCAGUAGAGGAACUUUACUGAACCGAUGCGUCUAAUGGAGAGAAGCCGAUCUGAGGUCACACAGCUGAUCAGAGAUCAUGAAAAAGCUGCAGUGAGCCAAGCUGAAGAAAACAUGAAGGAAUUGGUGCAGGAGAUUGAUGAUCUGAAGAGGAGAGACACUGAACUGGAGAAGCUUUCGCACACAGAGGAUCUCAUCGAUUCCCUGCUGAGUUUCCGUGGGGGGCCUGUAAUACCACCUUUGUAUUUGUGUGAAUUCUCUUCUCAUCUCUUCUCUUCCCUUAUGAUGAUAUAAUUAAAGCAGUUUCUUUGCUAAAAGAAAAACUCGAAGGUUUCUACAAAGAGGAGAUAGUAAAGAUAGAAAAGCUUUCUGGUACAGGUAAAACACUGGAGCCAGAGCCUCAAUCGACGUCAGUCCAGGUGGGUGAGCCAACUGUUAGACACACGGUGGUCAAAGUGUCAGUAGUGAGCAAGGGCACAAAGAAAUGCCCCACCCACUGCACCACCACUGAGGGUGAGCUGAAGCAGGACUUGGGAGAUUUAAUACUUUUAUCCUGAGGUUUUUCUGUCAUCUGAUGUCUGCCCUGUCAUGACCAUGGAGGUUACAUUUACAUUUACAUUACAUUUACAUUACAUACAGGUUGUGAGUGAACUGUCUGUGUAUAUUGAAGACAAUAUGUCUCUCAUUAGCAACCCUACUUAAUCAAAUCUGUUCAUUCUGUCUUUGUCCGGCAUUCUGUGUCUGUUCGUUCGUUCGUGAUUCCGCCCUCUCUGGAGAUAACCUGUCAUGGAAUUUAUUAAAGUGUGUUUUAAAACUUA